UACAGAGGCCUUAAGCGUUGUUCGGAUUCAUUGGGCGUAAAGGGUGCGUAGGUGGCUUGGUAAGUUGAAGGUGAAAUCUCGGGGCUUAACUCCGAAACUGCCUUCAAUACUGCUGAGCUCGAGGAUUGUAGAGGAGAAUGGAAUUCACGGUGUAGCAGUGAAAUGCGUAGAUAUCGUGAGGAAGACCAGUGGCGAAGGCGAUUCUCUGGGCAAUUCCUGACACUGAGGCACGAAGGCUAGGGGAGCAAACGGG
This 253-nucleotide ribosomal RNA is filed under the name uncultured bacterium. Its description in RNAcentral is "partial 16S ribosomal RNA". It matches the Rfam family "Bacterial small subunit ribosomal RNA", at positions 524 to 776 of the family's 1533-position model. The record is from RNAcentral.